This is a non-coding RNA of Lactuca sativa (garden lettuce), 1903 nucleotides long. The record is from RefSeq and is a predicted model, not a curated record. NCBI's taxonomy places the organism in Eukaryota, Viridiplantae, Streptophyta, Magnoliopsida, Asterales, Asteraceae.
UAAUGAUUUAUGGUUAGAGUUGCUUUAAGAAACAGUUCUUUGCUCCUAUUGGACCAAAACCUUUCUUUUUUUUAAAUUGAUGCUGGCUCUUAUCUCCUUAACAUACCACCACCUACUGACCACAAGUGUUGUUCAUGGGUUAGUUCUUAAACCAAGGUCACCGCCUUUUAAAGAUACGUGUUUUCUCCUCCCAAUUUUGGUGGUUUCGAGAAACUCCACCGCUUCUCUAUCUUUCUUCCGAUCGACAAAUCCUAAACGUACCCCAUCGCCAUUACAUCUUCUGCCUAUAUGUUUUUCCGGCUUUCAUGAAAAGGUUUACGCAUCGCAUAUUUCCUCCACCAUCGUCUUCACCGAGAAGCCAGCCUCACCACCACCAUCGACGUCCUUUUCAUCCCUAGCCCAGAUAAAAUCGAAAGGAAAAUCAAAGAAGAAACCACACAUCCUCAGCAACACCAUCCAACCACCCUCUAAGUAUUCCGACCACCGGAUGUAAGUAAGAAAAUCAUGAAUUACGGCCUUUUAUCCUUGCGGUUACGUAAUUUGUGGUGAAAACAAAGCUUUUACCUCAGAUGACGAAUUCCUUCACUCAUUGUGUUCAUUAACAAAUAUUGCACUCUAACUGUUUGUUGAUUUGCCACAACCUAUCGAGGAUAAAUCAGAAGAGGGUUCAGUCCACAGAGAUGUUGUUAUUGCUAGAGUUUCAACAGAGAAGAAAGACAUUCUAAUUAGACCAUGGGAAGAAAGCGAGAAAUCAAAGAACAGCAAGAAAGCAGACUUACAAGCUGAAUCGAAGAAGAUUGAGAUAACAUUUACAUCAUAUCAUCGAUAAUCGAUAAUGAAAUAUGUUGAAAUAAAAUCAUGUAAUUGAAAAAUAAUUGUUAAGUACACCCCUUUUGGCAAGAUCAAAAUUUAGUUGAGCUGGAAAAAAUUUACACCUUUUUUGGUAAGAUCAAAAUAAGAAUCAUCAAAGGGUAAGUGUAAAAUUAUUUAUAUACCUUUAUUCCAUAUAUUAUUUUCUUAAAAUAAGCAUAAUUUGCCAAAGAAAACACCAUAAAAAUAUUAAUCUUCAAGCAACAGGAGCACAUUCAACCAUUAAAUUAAGGGCAUUUUUGUCCUUUGUUGCAUUCGCAGAAAAGAUCAACAGGGAAGAGGUAUUUAUAAUGCCACCAGUUAUGUUAAAUCUUAAUACUUUCUUUAUAUGGUGUUGGCCACAUGCUAUUGUUCUAUACAAUUUCUUGAUUACUGAUUUGGUUGCUUUGAUAAAUUGUUAGAAAGGUGGUGGAGAUUACUCGGUUUGAUUCAUAAUAUUCAUAUUAUUUUUGAUUUGCUUAUUUCUAAGUUAGAGACUUGGCUUUAAAUGUUAUAUGUGUAACUUCUUAUUUCAAGAUCUAUUGGAAUAUUCUUACAUUUUAACAAAGAUUUUUGGCUGUGGAAACUGUUUUGCAGACCUUCAAAUGUUAAAUUCAACCAAAGCUACAUCGAUUGCAUCAUUAAAGGUUAAGGAAGCAGGGUUUUUUUUUUUUUUUUUUUCAUUUUCACUUUAUUUUUCGUACUUUUUUCUAUGUCAUAUGGAUCGAUUAUGCUUCACUCGCUUAUUAUUUGUGUGCAAAAGCGUGGAAAUCUACUUCAUUGGGAUCGAUUUUGUUUGUUUUUCUACAAUUACGAUAAUAUCUGCCUUCAUGGUCGAUCAUCCCAAGGUAUUCCGAUCGUUUUUUCCUUGACUUUUUUUUGAUAGAGAUGAGUAGGGACUGUUUUUUCCAUUUAUGGCAAUGCACUUUCAUUUGUGUCUAUUUUAUAAUUUGUAGCAAAUCUCAUUAAAUUAAUAAAAAUGACCAUGUAUGGGCUUUUUAGCCAUUUAUAUCAAUGUACUUUUAUUAUAUUUACAAAGAUUCAUUAAAAUGUC